This 396-nucleotide ribosomal RNA is filed under the name uncultured bacterium. RNAcentral describes it as "bacterial SSU rRNA". It matches the Rfam family "Bacterial small subunit ribosomal RNA", at positions 975 to 1375 of the family's 1533-position model. The record is from RNAcentral.
CCACCUUUGACAUGGCAGGAAGGCUCCAGAGAUGGGGCUGUGCUCGAAAGAGAACCUGCACACAGGUGCUGCAUGGCUGUCGUCAGCUCGUGUCGUGAGAUGUUGGGUUAAGUCCCGCAACGAGCGCAACCCUUGCCAUUAGUUGCUACGAAAGGGCACUCUAAUGGGACUGCCGGUGACAAGCCGGAGGAAGGUGGGGAUGACGUCAAGUCCUCAUGGCCCUUAUAGGUGGGGCUACACACGUCAUACAAUGGCCGGUACAAAGGGUAGCCAACCCGCGAGGGGGAGCCAAUCCCAUAAAGCCGGUCGUAGUCCGGAUCGCAGUCUGCAACUCGGCUGCGUGAAGUCGGAAUCGCUAGUAAUCGUGGAUCAGCAUGUCACGGUGAAUACGUUCCC